RNAcentral lists this ribosomal RNA (774 nucleotides) under uncultured bacterium. RNAcentral describes it as "bacterial SSU rRNA". It matches the Rfam family "Bacterial small subunit ribosomal RNA", at positions 8 to 796 of the family's 1533-position model. The record is from RNAcentral.
AGAGUUUGAUCAUGGCUCAGGACGAACGCUGGCGGCGUGCUUAACACAUGCAAGUCGAACGGUAAGGCCCUUUCGGGGGUACACGAGUGGCGAACGGGUGAGUAACACGUGGGUGAUCUGCCCUGCACUUUGGGAUAAGCCUGGGAAACUGGGUCUAAUACCGAAUAUUCCUUGCUGGUCGCAUGGCCUGGUGGGGGAAAGCUUUUGCGGUGUGGGAUGGGCCCGCGGCCUAUCAGCUUGUUGGUGGGGUGAUGGCCUACCAAGGCGACGACGGGUAGCCGGCCUGAGAGGGUGUCCGGCCACACUGGGACUGAGAUACGGCCCAGACUCCUACGGGAGGCAGCAGUGGGGAAUAUUGCACAAUGGGCGCAAGCCUGAUGCAGCGACGCCGCGUGAGGGAUGACGGCCUUCGGGUUGUAAACCUCUUUCAGUACAGACGAAGCGUAAGUGACGGUAUGUACAGAAGAAGCACCGGCCAACUACGUGCCAGCAGCCGCGGUAAUACGUAGGGUGCGAGCGUUGUCCGGAAUUACUGGGCGUAAAGAGCUCGUAGGUGGUUUGUCGCGUUGUUCGUGAAAACCGGGGGCUUAACCCUCGGCGUGCGGGCGAUACGGGCAGACUUGAGUACUGCAGGGGAGACUGGAAUUCCUGGUGUAGCGGUGGAAUGCGCGAUAUCAGGAGGAACACCGGUGGCGAAGGCGGGUCUCUGGGCAGUAACUGACGCUGAGGAGCGAAAGCGUGGGGAGCGAACAGGAUUAGAUACCCUAGUAGUCC